AGGUCAGUAGCUCAAUUGGCAGAGCGUCGGUCUCCAAAACCGAAGGUUGCGAGUUCGAUUCCCGCCUGACCUG
This 73-nucleotide transfer RNA is filed under the name Phycisphaerae bacterium. Its description in RNAcentral is "tRNA-Trp". It matches the Rfam family "tRNA". From Rfam's summary of the family: Transfer RNA (tRNA) molecules are approximately 80 nucleotides in length. The record is from RNAcentral. Lineage: Bacteria; Pseudomonadati; Planctomycetota; Phycisphaerae.